GGUGGGAUUGGGGAUGAAGUGGUUGACCCGCUCGCCGAUGACGGCAUACGUGUGCCUGCCGUCGGUGAGCAUCUGAACACCGCGGUGCUUGAACUUCUU
Mycobacterium xenopi RIVM700367 is the source of this 99-nucleotide non-coding RNA. The record is from Rfam. Lineage: Bacteria; Bacillati; Actinomycetota; Actinomycetes; Mycobacteriales; Mycobacteriaceae.